GGGUGCGUAACGCGUAUAGAACCUACCUUUUACAGAGGAAUAGCCUUUAGAAAUGAAGAUUAAUGCCUCAUGGUAUUGUAGACUGGCAUCAGUUUAUAAUUAAAGAUUUAUCGGUAAAAGAUGGCUAUGCGUCCUAUUAGUUAGUUGGUAAGGUAACGGCUUACCAAGACAGCGAUAGGUAGGGGUCCUGAGAGGGAGAUCCCCCACACUGGUACUGAGACACGGACCAGACUCCUACGGGAGGCAGCAGUGAGGAAUAUUGGACAAUGGAGGAGACUCUGAUCCAGCCAUGCCGCGUGUAGGAAGAAUGCCCUAUGGGUUGUAAACUACUUUUAUACAGGAAGAAACACUGGUAUGUAUACCAGCUUGACGGUACUGUAAGAAUAAGGACCGG
This 394-nucleotide ribosomal RNA is filed under the name uncultured Polaribacter sp. Its description in RNAcentral is "bacterial SSU rRNA". It matches the Rfam family "Bacterial small subunit ribosomal RNA", at positions 104 to 496 of the family's 1533-position model. Lineage: Bacteria; Pseudomonadati; Bacteroidota; Flavobacteriia; Flavobacteriales; Flavobacteriaceae. The record is from RNAcentral.